CGCUGGCGCUCCACGAGGCCGUUAGCUCCCGACGAGCUGCGGUUCCACCUGGUGCCAACCUUCAAGCAUAGUCUUGUGGACUGUCUUCAUGUCAUUCAAGCAUCUGGAGACUCUGCUGUUAAGUUGGUGAAGCUAAAGGGAAGAAUCGGGCAUGAGCAGCAUUCCUUUACAAUCCCAAGCAAAGUGCCAUGGGGUGUGAGGAGUGUAAUACACAUUUACCACAAGGAUGAGAAGGAAACACAGCUUCCAGAAGAUGGAAACAGCCAAGCUUUGUGCAAAGAUUCCACUGGCUCUUGGGUGUAAGGGGAGUUGGAAAGAUGGACCAGAGUGCCAGGGUAGGAGGUGGGGCAUGGGCAGGGCUCCUUUGAUGCCGGCCAGCUGGGAAGCCAGGACCCAGCUCACUGCCAGGUGACCACAGGCAGAAAGGCGGGCUGCUGGGCUGGCCCUUCAGAGCACGUGUGAAGCAUGGAGCCUCCCGAGCUCCCAGGGUCUCAUCUGACUGAACUUGUGAGAGCUGGCAGGGGAGUUGCUAGCCACAUCCCAUGCAUGUUAUUGCCAUCCUAUCCAUCAAGUCUUCCCUUUCCCUCUGAUCGUCUUCGGGGGUGCUCCCCACAUUCCCACAGGAGAUUGUCCCUCCAAACUGCAUCUGCCGCCAUUGAGCGAGAGAGCCCAAGGACCAGGCUAACCUGUGGAAGUUAAAGAAAGAGUCAACCAGUGCCAACUCGCUCACAAAAUAAUUUGUCUGUCAGAACAGUAAGUUCAUUUCAGGCAAAUCAGUGGCAUGGGCUCCUUGCUCCUUCAGGGAGCAACAUUUCAUUUCAUGAUCAGAAGGAGGGGAGAGGAAAUGAGUUCUGGUAU
Heterocephalus glaber (naked mole-rat) is the source of this 858-nucleotide long non-coding RNA. RefSeq lists it as uncharacterized. NCBI's taxonomy places the organism in Eukaryota, Metazoa, Chordata, Mammalia, Rodentia, Bathyergidae. The record is from RefSeq and is a predicted model, not a curated record.